GGGGGUAUAGCUCAGGGUCAGAGCAUUUGACUGCAGAUCAAGAGGUCCCCGGUUCAAAUCCGGGUGCCCCCU
Molecule: transfer RNA, 72 nt
Filed under: Macaca mulatta (Rhesus monkey)
Lineage: Eukaryota; Metazoa; Chordata; Mammalia; Primates; Cercopithecidae
Description: tRNA-Cys (GCA) (tRNA-Cys-GCA-12-1)
Rfam family: tRNA
About the family: Transfer RNA (tRNA) molecules are approximately 80 nucleotides in length. Their secondary structure includes four short double-helical elements and three loops (D, anti-codon, and T loops).
Source: Rfam by way of RNAcentral